This 3257-nucleotide long non-coding RNA is filed under the name Sus scrofa (pig). Its description in RNAcentral is "lncRNA (ENSSSCG00030016176.1)". The record is from RNAcentral. Lineage: Eukaryota; Metazoa; Chordata; Mammalia; Artiodactyla; Suidae.
GGCAUAUGGAGGUUCCCAGGUUAGGGGUUGAAUCGGAGCUGUAGCCACCGGCCUACACCAGAGCCACAGCAACGCAGGAUCCGAGCCUCGUCUGCAACCUACACCACAGCUCACGCAACGCCAGAUCCUUAACCCACUGAGCAAGCACAGGGAUCGAACCCGCAACCUCAUGGUUCCUAGUCGGAUUCGUUAACCACUGCGCCACGACGGGAACUCCCUUGAAUUCUUAUGGUUGAACUAGAGAGAAUAAUAGAAAAAGAAACAAAUAUUAAUUUAUAUGCAUGGCAGUCUCAUAGAAAUGAGACCUAAGAAAUAGCCAAAGCUGGCAGCCUUUAUACUUUUUAGACAAAGAGAAAAAAACUUGUGAAGAAUUGACAGAACAAAGAAACAGGUUUUGAGUAUUCAAUCAGUAAAAAUCUAAACAGAGUUUGGGCUUGGGGUAGUAAAUUAAAGAGAUAACAAGGUUUGUCUAUAUGGGCUUGGCCUGAAUUCGCUAUCUCUGGGAAUAAGGGUAUUUUUCUGCUUUCAGAUGCAAGGACUGUACUUCUCACACAUGAGAAUUCUUCCUUUCGGGAAGAUAGAAAGGAGGGUCAGAGUGUCUUCUUGCAUUGACUAUUUCUUAAGUAACCCUAAUUCAAAAUAAUUAAUAUGCUACCAAGGCACAUUUGGGGGUGUGUGUUGGGGGGAGCUUGCACUGAACUGCAACAGAUGGAAUCCCUGAAAGGCAGAGAAGUAAACUGAAGUCAGGGAAUGUUUGAAAAAAUAAUGUAGAAUAUGAAGAAUUGAAUGAAAACUGAUGAGCACGUAUAGAAAAGGGAUUGGGAAAGUAGUCUGUAGUGGGUUGAAUAGUACUUCCCCUAAAUGGAACCUCAAAAUUUAACUUUACUGGGAAAUAGGAUCUUUGAAUAUAAUUAGUUAAGAUGAGCUUAUACUAGGUUAGAGGGGGUCCUAAUCCUAAUGUUAGGAGUUCCCAUCAUGGCCAAGUGGUUAAUGCACCUGACUAGUAUCCAUGAGAAUGCGGCUUUGACCCCUGGCCUUGCUCAGUGAGUUAAGGAUCCAGUGUUCCUGUGAGCUGUGGUGUAGGUUGCAGACACGUCUUGGAUCCAAUGUUGGUGUGGCUAUGAUGUAAGCCAAUGGCUACAGCACUGAUUGGAACCAUAGCCUGGGAACCUCCAUAUGCCGCGAGUGUGGCCCUAAAAAGACCAAAGACGCGCGCGCGCGCGCACACACACACACACACACACACACACACACACACACAAAGAGAGGCAGAGAUUAGAGCGCUGUGUCUACAAGGCAAGGAUUGUUGACAACCACCAGAAGCCAAGAGGAGGCAAGGAAGAAUUCUAUCCUGGAAUCUUUAGAGGCCCUUCCAACACCUUGAUUUCUCAUCUCUAGAACUAUGAGAAAAUGUCUUUUUAAGCCACCCAGUUUGUGAUAAUUUGUUAUUAUAGCCUUCAGAAACCAGUAUAUAGCCAUAAACUUAGACUUGUUAACAAAACUCUAACAACUUGAAAUAAAAACUACAUCAUCCUCCAGUGAAGAAGAAUCUGAUUGUCAUUUUACUUUUCUCCCUAGCAAUACUGACAGCUGUGGGAUAAUUUUUUUUCCAGUGUUGAAACAAGCAAACUUGAAGCUUAGGAUUUUAUUUCUGGUUAUUUUAAUUGAGUGGGAGGAUAAAAUAAAGAUACCAUUCUGAAUAAUAUCUCAGUUUGCCACAUAAUGACCCUCUUUGAAUGUAAUUUUAGAGAAUGUAGUCUAGCAAAAAAAGAAAAGAAAAAUGGAAAAAUAAAUCCAGAAGGAAAAAAAUGUGGAAAAUAAGAACAAAUGGGGGAAUUUAUUGAUUUAAAAAAAUUUAUUGGAAUAUAGUUGACUUACAAUGUUCUAUUAGUUUCAAAUCUACAGGGAAGUGCAUCAGUUAUACAUAUAUCCAUUCCUUUUUCCCAUAUAGGUUAUUAGAGUAUAUUAAGUAGAUUUCCCUAUGCUAUAUAGUAGGUCCUUGUUAGUUGUCUAUUAUAUACAGUAUUGUGUAUCUGUUAAUCCCAUCUCCCAAUUUAUUCCUCCUCUCCACUGUUCCCCCUUUGGUAAUCCUAAAUUUGAUAACAGAAAUCUGUGAGUUUGUUUCUGUUUUAUAAAUAAGUUCUUCUGUAUCAUUUUUUAUUAGAUUGUACCUAUAAAUGAUAUCAAAUGAUAUUUGUCUUUCUCUUUUUGACUUUGCUCAGUAGAAUAAUCUCUAGAUUCACCCAUGUUUCUGUAAAUGCCUUUAUUUCAUUCCUGUAAAUGACUGAGUAAUAUUCCAUUGUAUAUAUCUUCUUUAUCCAUUCCCCUGUUGAUGGACAUUUAAGUUGCUUCCAUGUCUUGGCUAUUGUAAAUAGUGCUGCAAUGAACACUGGGGUGCAUGUAUCUUUUUGAAUUAUGGUUUUCUUUGGAUAAAUUCCCAGGAGUAGUAUUGCUGGACCAUGUGGUAGUUUUAUAUAUUUAGUUUUCAGAGGAACCUCCAUAAUGUUCUCCAUAGUGGUUGCACAAAUCUUACAUUUCCAUCAACAGUGUAGGAGGGUUCCCUUUCUGCACACACUCUCAAACAUUUAUUCUUGGUUGAUUUUGUGAUGAUGACCAUUCUGAUUGGUAUGAGAUGCUACCUCAUAAUAGUUUUGAUUUGCAUUUUUCUAAUAGUGAUAUUGAACAUCUUUUCAUGUGCUUUGUUAUGUAAUAGGAAAAUUGUCCACUAAAAACAAUUUGAAAUGCUAUAUAAGUAUACAAACAUUCACUCAAAAGCAUAGUUGAGCUUGGAGAGAAAAAAAAAAAAGGUGAGUUAAAUCAAAGAGGGAUCUAAGAUUCACGCAAUAAAAGAGUGCUAAGCCUAUUGCUUCCUGAUGGGGACUGUCCGUAGACCUUUGUGAAUAAGAUAAAUGAAAAAUAGGAUUGCUGAAAUAAACAGUGGUCAGAAACCAAAACCAGCAUAUCAAUAACAGUUUGAAAUUAUAAUACUGUAUUUCCAAACAUUAGAAUUUGAAUAAGGGGAUGAUGGGGGAUGAGAUCUAAAAGAGAUCCAAGGUUGCAGUGUAUGCUAAGGAUAGAGAGAUUGAUCUGCUUUUAGAUAUUGAUGGGGAAAUUGAGCAUUAGUGUGGAUUAUACAAAGAAUAAUCACUACUGAAGAAAAUAAAAUGCAUAAUUUUUAUACCAUAGGAUAAAACUUAAUGUAGACGUUGGAAGAAAGGGAAAAGAAAAAAGGGAAACAAAAAGAUGGUAUAGUAUGG